This 1023-nucleotide unclassified non-coding RNA is filed under the name Bombus terrestris (buff-tailed bumblebee). RNAcentral describes it as "misc RNA ENSBTSG00005027098.1". The record is from RNAcentral. Lineage: Eukaryota; Metazoa; Arthropoda; Insecta; Hymenoptera; Apidae.
UAUAUCAAAGAGUUUAUUUUUAAUAAUAAAUCUUGAAUAAGUCGAGCAAAAACAAUGAGAUAGAGGGAAAGUGAACGGAUUUAUAGAACUGUAGCAACAACCGUUAUUAGCUUGUUGCCAUAAAAAAAAGUGCAAGUUUGGAAUUCGCAAAAGCAAACGUAUGCUGCUACCCAAAGAGAACUGGAAAAAUCAAUUUAGAGCUCAACGGCUUAGAUGUGUGCAAAUAUCAUUUUCGGGAUUCAAAGGAGAAAGAAGAAGUCACAGCAGUUUGUUAAAUGGAGAAGAGAAUAUGGAUAAAUGGCUGUAUGAAAGCGCGCCUACAUCGUUACACGUGUAUCUGUGCAACUAUUAUAAUUAUUUUAUUACAAUAUAUUGUUAAAAUGUUGAAUUGUACUGGAAAAUGUUGAAUGUUUAAAUAUCAACUCGAUUAAGAUUCAUCAUUUACCAGAUCAUUACGAGAACAAUUCUAAGAAAACCUGGUUUCUCGGAUAAGUAGGAACCUAAGUUGUAAAAAUCUUCUAAUUAAUAAUCCGCACAUAAGCUACAAUUUAAAGGUUCGUUCUUUUUACUCAUCCAAAAUUAUAAAAACUAAAGAAACUCAAUUCCUAACUUCAUUUCUCAAAGAAGAGAAACAGAUAUGUACACAUAUAAAGAAAGUAAAAACGUAGGGACUUUUGUUUAGGAAGCUCAACGAUUUCUUCCAUAACCCAACUCUCGCUUUUCUCCUGUUAGGAAUCGAAGGGUUAACAAGAAAGGCAUGAAUCAAGGUUCUUGGCUGGUCCAGGAUGCAAAGGGUUCUUAGGACCAUAUGACUCAGCAAUCAUAUGGUUAGUGACGUCAGAGACCAGCAAAAUGAUCGAACUAGUAAAAGCAACGACCGAUAGAACAACACGGUGCACAGUUUACAUGGUAGAUGCGGUUGGUAUUAUUUAUCAAGAACACACAACGAAUAAUGCAGAUGAACGAAGCACGAAUGAGCUUAUUUUUUGAGUUUUUAGAGAUAAGAAACAUAAUACAAUCUAU